Molecule: ribosomal RNA, 388 nt
Filed under: uncultured eukaryote
Lineage: Eukaryota
Description: partial 18S ribosomal RNA
Rfam family: Eukaryotic small subunit ribosomal RNA
Source: RNAcentral
CAAUAGCGUAUAUUAAAGUUGUUGCAGUUAAAAAGCUCGUAGUUGGAUUUCUGAUCGAGACAUCAGGUCGGGUCCGAGAGGAUCAUGUACUUUGAUUUUGUUUUGAUCAUCCUUGGGGAGAGCAUUUCUGGCAUUCAGUUGUCGGAAUUGGGAUCCUCAUCGUUUACUGUGAAAAAAUUAGAGUGUUCAAAGCAGGCCUCGGCCUCUGAAUACAUUAGCAUGGAAUAAUAAGAUAGGACUUUGGUGGUCUAUUUUGUUGGUUUGCACGCCAAAGUAAUGAUUAAUAGGGAUAGUUGGGGGUAUUCGUAUUCAAUUGUCAGAGGUGAAAUUCUUGGAUUUAUGGAAGACGAACUACUGCGAAAGCAUUUACCAAGGAUGUUUUCAUUAA